AUUGAACGCUGGCGGCAUGCCUUACACAUGCAAGUCGAACGGCAGCACGGGUGCUUGCACCUGGUGGCGAGUGGCGAACGGGUGAGUAAUACAUCGGAACAUGUCCUGUAGUGGGGGAUAGCCCGGCGAAAGCCGGAUUAAUACCGCAUACGAUCUACGGAUGAAAGCGGGGGACCUUCGGGCCUCGCGCUAUAGGGUUGGCCGUUAGCUGAUUAGCUAGUUGGUGGGGUAAAGGCCUACCAAGGCGACGAUCAGUAGCUGGUCUGAGAGGACGACCAGCCACACUGGGACUGAGACACGGCCCAGACUCCUACGGGAGGCAGCAGUGGGGAAUUUUGGACAAUGGGCGAAAGCCUGAUCCAGCAAUGCCGCGUGUGUGAAGAAGGCCUUCGGGUUGUAAAGCACUUUUGUCCGGAAAGAAAUCCUUGGCUCUAAUACAGUCGGGGGAUGACGGUACCGGAAGAAUAAGCACCGGCUAACUACGUG
This 486-nucleotide ribosomal RNA is filed under the name uncultured bacterium. Its description in RNAcentral is "partial 16S ribosomal RNA". It matches the Rfam family "Bacterial small subunit ribosomal RNA", at positions 30 to 507 of the family's 1533-position model. The record is from RNAcentral.